RNAcentral lists this long non-coding RNA (330 nucleotides) under Prunus persica (peach). RNAcentral's name for it is "long non-coding RNA (PPER_LNC006024)". Lineage: Eukaryota; Viridiplantae; Streptophyta; Magnoliopsida; Rosales; Rosaceae. The record is from RNAcentral.
CCACCGUCACCACCACAGGCCACCAUCGGCCACAAGAUCGGACCCAAACGAACGGCCACCACCCCCUCUUCCCUUUCCGAUCGAUCGCAGCCCUUGGAAUCGCCGGUUUUCGCCGGAAAACUUCCAAAAACAAGCCGGUUUUCACAGAUUUUGCAACCGCCCGUUCUCCCUCAUUUCUCCCCCAAAUUUAACGAGUAAGGUAUGAAUUUCUACCUAUUUUCCAUGCUCUAGCUGAUGGUUGGGUAGGAUUGCAUCGAUUUUGAACGUAGGUAGCUCGAUUUUCGAAUUGAAAUUCGGCCGAUUUUGGGAUCUCGAUUCCGGCCACUUCCG